AACGAACGCUGGCGGCAGGCUUAACACAUGCAAGUCGAACGCCCCGCAAGGGGAGUGGCAGACGGGUGAGUAACGCGUGGGAACAUACCCUUUUCUACGGAAUAGCUCUGGGAAACUGGAAUUAAUACCGUAUACGCCCUACGGGGGAAAGAUUUAUCGGGGAAGGAUUGGCCCGCGUUGGAUUAGCUAGUUGGUGGGGUAAAGGCCUACCAAGGCGACGAUCCAUAGCUGGUCUGAGAGGAUGAUCAGACACAUUGGGACUGAGACACGGCCCAAACUCCUACGGGAGGCAGCAGUGGGGAAUAUUGAACAAGGGGCGCAGGCCUGAUCCAGCCAUGCCGCGUAAGUGAUGAAGGCCUUAGGGUUGUAAAGCUCUUUCACCGAUGAGGAUAAUGACGGAAGUCGAAGAAGAAGCCCCGGCUAACUUGGU
RNAcentral lists this ribosomal RNA (430 nucleotides) under uncultured bacterium. RNAcentral describes it as "partial 16S ribosomal RNA". It matches the Rfam family "Bacterial small subunit ribosomal RNA", at positions 29 to 506 of the family's 1533-position model. The record is from RNAcentral.